GACUGGAGAAAGAGCCCUACUACCCUAGCUAAGCCGGCACAGCGGCGGCCGGCGAUACACGUGCGAGCGGCGGCGUGAGGAAAGGCGGGCGGGGUGAGAGAUACCUAACCACUAAGCGGCUGCGGCAGCGCCGCAGCAUAACCGGCACCAGGUCAAAAAACGACGACUGGGCAGGCACCGUAUGCAUAUCCUGAAUUUCAGCACCGCAUACACUUUCUACAGGGCCCUUGCCACACCAGACAAGCACAGACAAACACGCGAGCGGCAUGCCAUGUCAUCACCGGCAGCAAGGAGCAUCACUUGCUACUCCAAAAUUCCAGAGUUCUUGGUGGGCACUAAUGGGCAGCCAAUGCCCGCAGUGGGGCUCGGCACAGCAUCACACCCAUUUGUGGCGGAGGAUGUCAGGACAUCCGUGCUCACUGCGCUGGAGCUUGGCUACCGCCACAUCGACACUGCGGGACUCUACGCCUCUGAGCGAGUUGUCGGCGAGGCCAUGGCUGAGGCAGUGUCGUGCGGCCUUGUGGCGUCCAGGGACGAGCUGUUUGUGACAUCCAAGGUGUGGUGCACUCAAUGCCAUCCUGAGCUUGUGCUUCCGUCCCUCAAGGAGAGCUUGAAGAACCUUCAAAUGGAAUAUGUUGAUUUGUACCUGAUUCAUUGGCCCAUGGCUGUAAAGCCUAGCAAGCCUCACUUCCCAAUGAAAAGGGAGGACAUUGUGCCGAUGGACCUUAGUGGUGUAUGGCAGGCAAUGGAGGAAUGCCAUCGACUUGGCCUUGCUAAAAUGAUUGGUGUUAGCAAUUUCACAACAAAGAAAUUGCAGGAGCUGCUUGCCAUUGCAAAAAUUUCCCCAUUUGUAAAUCAGGUUGAAUUGAAUCCCACUUGGCAACAGAAAAAACUAAUUGAGUUCUGCAAUGACAAGGGUAUUCAUGUGACGGCUUAUUCUCCCCUAGGAGGCCAAAGAAUCUCUAAACUGAAUCCAGUACGACAAUCUGACAUAUUGGAAGAGAUUGGAAAGGCUAGAGGGAAGUCAGUGGCCCAGAUUUCACUGAGGUGGAUAUACGAGCAAGGUGCAAGCAUGGUGGCAAAGAGCUUGAAAAGGGAGAGGCUUAAGGAGAACAUUGAAAUCUUCGAUUGGGAAUUGAGUGACGAAGAUCGGUUUAAGAUUGGUCAGAUAGCACAGCGCAAGUUGGUCACAGUACAGAAUCUCCUGUGUCCUGAAGGUAUCUCCAGUGUGGAUAUCUUGGAUGUUGAUGUUAUUGAAAUAUAGCUGUGGUCUCCAUCUAUUUGCAAUGGGCAAAAGAAUUGGUGUACAACAUGUUGGAUACAUCAGAAGCAGUCUUUCACGUUUCUAUGUACUAAUGUUCAUCUUGCUAAAUUCACAUGUGCACCUUUCUAUUGUCACCAAUACUUUUGUACCAUUUUCUGGAUUAAUCUACUAUUAAAAAUGCAAAAAUAU
This is an RNA transcript of Zea mays, 1453 nucleotides long. It is a transcript of the gene named NAD(P)H-dependent oxidoreductase pseudogene, with no coding region annotated. Lineage: Eukaryota; Viridiplantae; Streptophyta; Magnoliopsida; Poales; Poaceae. The transcript is spliced from 6 exons. The record is from RefSeq and is marked validated.